UGCCAAGAAGCCUAAACCCAAGAAAGUAGC
This 30-nucleotide non-coding RNA is filed under the name Homo sapiens (human). The record is from RNAcentral. Lineage: Eukaryota; Metazoa; Chordata; Mammalia; Primates; Hominidae.